UCAGGGACUCCCGACCUUCAGGGAUGUGGCCAUAGAAUUCUCUCAGGAGGAAUGGGAUGCUUGAACCACAGUCAGCGGGAGCUGUACAGGGGUGUGAUGUUAGAGACCUAUGGACACCUCCUCUUCUUG
RNAcentral lists this long non-coding RNA (129 nucleotides) under Lynx pardinus (Iberian lynx). The record is from RNAcentral. Lineage: Eukaryota; Metazoa; Chordata; Mammalia; Carnivora; Felidae.